RNAcentral lists this ribosomal RNA (492 nucleotides) under uncultured bacterium. Its description in RNAcentral is "partial 16S ribosomal RNA". It matches the Rfam family "Bacterial small subunit ribosomal RNA", at positions 29 to 507 of the family's 1533-position model. The record is from RNAcentral.
AGUGAACGCUGGCGGUAGGCCUAACACAUGCAAGUCGAACGGCAGCACAGUAAGAGCUUGCUCUUACGGGUGGCGAGUGGCGGACGGGUGAGGAAUACAUCGGAAUCUACUUUUUCGUGGGGGAUAACGUAGGGAGACUUACGCUAAUACCGCAUACGACCUACGGGUGAAAGCAGGGGAUCUUCGGACCUUGCGCGAUUGAAUGAGCCGAUGUCGGAUUAGCUAGUUGGCGGGGUAAAGGCCCACCAAGGCGACGAUCCGUAGCUGGUCUGAGAGGAUGAUCAGCCACACUGGAACUGAGACACGGUCCAGACUCCUACGGGAGGCAGCAGUGGGGAAUAUUGGACAAUGGGCGCAAGCCUGAUCCAGCCAUACCGCGUGGGUGAAGAAGGCCUUCGGGUUGUAAAGCCCUUUUGUUGGGAAAGAAAAGCAGCAGGUUAAUACCCCGCUGCUCUGACGGUACCCAAAGAAUAAGCACCGGCUAACUUCGUG